Molecule: ribosomal RNA, 268 nt
Filed under: uncultured bacterium
Lineage: Bacteria
Description: partial 16S ribosomal RNA
Rfam family: Bacterial small subunit ribosomal RNA
Source: RNAcentral
UGCCGGCGACCGGCGGACGGGUGCGUAACGCGUAUGUAACCUACCUUUGACAGGGGGAUAACAUCGAGAAAUUGGUACUAAUACCCCAUAACAUCACCGGAGGCAUCUUCGGUGGUUGAAAACUCAGGUGGUCAGAGAUGGACAUGCGUUGUAUUAGCUAGUUGGUGAGGUAACGGCUCACCAAGGCGACGAUACAUAGGGGGACUGAGAGGUCAACCCCCCCACAUUGGUACUGAGACACGGACCAAACUCCUACGGGAGGCAGCAG